Molecule: ribosomal RNA, 428 nt
Filed under: Bacteroidota bacterium
Lineage: Bacteria; Pseudomonadati; Bacteroidota
Description: Bacteroidetes bacterium partial 16S ribosomal RNA
Rfam family: Bacterial small subunit ribosomal RNA
Source: RNAcentral
UAGGGAAUCUUCGGCAAUGGGGGGAACCCUGACCGCGCAACGCCGCGUGAGUGAAGAAGGAUUUCGGUUCGUAAAACUCUGUUGUUAGAGAAGAACAGCGCAUAGAGUAACUGUUAUGGGUGUGACGGUACUUAACCAGAAAGGGACGGCUAACUACGUGCCAGCAGCCGCGGUAAUACGUAGGUCCCGAGCGUUGUCCGGAUUUAUUGGGCGUAAAGCGAGCGCAGGCGGUUAGAAAAGUCUGAAGUGAAAGGCAGUGGCUCAACCAUUGUAGGCUUUGGAAACUGUUUAACUUGAGUGCAGAAGGGGAGAGUGGAAUUCCAUGUGUAGCGGUGAAAUGCGUAGAUAUAUGGAGGAACACCGGUGGCGAAAGCGGCUCUCUGGUCUGUAACUGACGCUGAGGCUCGAAAGCGUGGGGAGCGAACAGG